GGAUUGCCCUAGUAACGGCGAGUGAAGCGGCAACAGCUCAAAUUUGAAAUCUGGCGUCUUCGGCGUCCGAGUUGUAAUUUGCAGAGGGCGCUUUGGCAUUGGCAGCGGUCCAAGUUCCUUGGAACAGGACGUCACAGAGGGUGAGAAUCCCGUACGUGGUCGCUAGCCUUUACCGUGUAAAGCCCCUUCGACGAGUCGAGUUGUUUGGGAAUGCAGCUCUAAAUGGGAGGUAAAUUUCUUCUAAAGCUAAAUACUGGCCAGAGACCGAUAGCGCACAAGUAGAGUGAUCGAAAGAUGAAAAGCACUUUGGAAAGAGAGUUAAAAAGCACGUGAAAUUGUUGAAAGGGAAGCGCUUGCAGCCAGACUUGCCUGUAGUUGCUCAUCCGGGUUUCUACCCGGUGCACUCUUCUAUAGGCAGGCCAGCAUCAGUUUGGGCGGUUGGAUAAAGGUCUCUGUCAUGUACCUCUCUUCGGGGAGAACUUAUAGGGGAGACGACAUGCAACCAGCCUGGACUGAGGUCCGCGCAUCUGCUAGGAUGCUGGCGUAAUGGCUGUAAGCGGCCCGUCUUGAAACACGGACCAAGGAGUCUAACAUCUAUGCGAGUGUUUGGGUGUCAAGCCCGAGCGCGUAAUGAAAGUGAACGGAGGUGGGAACCUUUCGGGGUGCACCAUCGACCGAUCCUGAUGUCUUCGGAUGGAUUUGAGUAAGAGCAUAGCUGUUGGGACCCGAAAGAUGGUGAACUAUGCUUGAAUAGGGUGAAGCCAGAGGAAACUCUGGUGGAGGCUCGCAGCGGUUCUGACGUGCAAAUCGAUCGUCAAAUUUGGGCAUAGGGGCGAAAGACUAAUCGAAC
This 850-nucleotide ribosomal RNA is filed under the name Didymella dimorpha. Its description in RNAcentral is "partial large subunit ribosomal RNA". It matches the Rfam family "Eukaryotic large subunit ribosomal RNA", at positions 72 to 940 of the family's 3401-position model. Lineage: Eukaryota; Fungi; Ascomycota; Dothideomycetes; Pleosporales; Didymellaceae. The record is from RNAcentral.